CAGCCCGAGGAGCGGCUGGAGGCGAGGGCCGGUGAAGGGGCCCGCAGAUGCCGCCUCGGCCCCCCCUUCCCUGGCCGGGGCCCCCACGGUGUCGGGGAGCAGGAGGAAUCAAUCAGGAUAAUGAAGCCGCAGCCUGCCACGCACCGCGGGGGCACUGAGGAGCCGGGGCCGGUGCCAAGUCCGCCAGACGGUUCGGAGGAGCCGAGCCCGGCGCGGCCCGGCGGCGGCGGCGGCGGCGGCGGCGGCUGCGGCGUUUGCGGCAGCGGCGGCUGCGACGGAGGAAACCCGGGGCCGGCGCGCGAAGGCCGGACGCAGCUCGGCGCAGGUCCUUGGCAACCGCGCCUUGGCAACCGGGACGCCCGAGAGGAAUCUUAAAGCUGCAGCACCUCCUUUCCUCGCCGCCGCCGCCGCCUCCUGGACCUGGGGUGGGGUGGGGGAGGGGGAAGGGUCGUGCCCAGAGGGUCAGUGGUGGGAGUCAGGCCCUGUGCCUCUCGGGACUUGGGGGUCCAACUCAUAUCCUCACUUCAUUUAUCAAAUGUGGAUUGAGCCCACGUGCCCAAGCACGGGCUAGACACUGGGGAGGAGAACGGGCUGUGAUAAAAAAAUGAACGAAGUCCUGCCAAGAGGAGUUCACAGUCUAGCGCGCAAGGCGGACCAGACUGGCUGAGGUUUCAUGCCUAGCACAGAGCCCAGUGGGAAGCUUGAACUCCCGACCCUGAGAUCAAGACCUGAGCUGAGAUCAAGAAUCAGAUGCUCAACUGACUGAGCCACCCAGAUGCCCCAGGCCUUCCUCAUCCAUCUCUUGACCACAGCAAUUUCUUCCAUAAUUCCAGCCCAAGCCUCACCCCUCAAGGCCUCUUACCCAGCCCCGACACAACUCCUACUAUUAAGUGUUUGAUCCUGCCUGGAAAAAGAACCUGAGGACUCAUGGAGUCAGUCGUUGAAGCAACAUCAGCCCUGGUGACUCCGUAAGAGUAACGGACUAUUGGGCGCCUGGGUGGCUCAGUUGGUUAAGCGACUGCCUUCGGCUCAAGUCAUGAUCCUGGAGUCCCUGGAUGGAGUCCCGCAUCAGGCUCCCUGCUCGGCAGGGAGUCUGCUUCUCCCUCUGACCCUUCCCCUCUCAUGUGCUCUCCAUUCUCUCUCUCUCAAAUGAAUAAAUAAAAUCUUUAAAAAAAAAAGAAUAAUGGACUAUUUAUUGUAUCAACCACUGAGCACCUAUGGAGUAUCAGGCAGUGUCCUAGGUGCUUUACAGACAUUAUUUCACUAAAUGCUCUCCACAACCUUAAGAGGUUGUUUAUCUGAAUUUUACAGACAAGAAAACUACGGCUCAGAGAGGUUAAGUGACUUUACCAAGGUCGCACAGUUGGUUAAUGGCAGUGCUGGUGCUAGAACCUAAGGCUUCCUGCCUCCCAAACUUGUGAUCUAACCAUCAGCUACUACCUUUAGAAAGACCAAGAAGGGGUGCACUCCCACAGUUAGUGAAGAAAUUGCACUGAGGCCCCCAUCAGGAGAAGCCACAGAAAAGUAAUCCUGUUUUUUCAAUUCCCCUUGGUAGGCACAGACUUAAACCUAUCCCAGGCAGGAAAAAAAAAAAAUCUCUGAAGUAGGCCCAUUCUGAAGUUUUAUAUCCCAUCAGUAAGUUUUUCCAUAC
Molecule: long non-coding RNA, 1651 nt
Organism: Zalophus californianus (California sea lion)
Lineage: Eukaryota; Metazoa; Chordata; Mammalia; Carnivora; Otariidae
Exons: 3
Source: RefSeq, a predicted model, not a curated record